Molecule: ribosomal RNA, 429 nt
Filed under: Actinomycetes bacterium
Lineage: Bacteria; Bacillati; Actinomycetota; Actinomycetes
Description: Actinobacteria bacterium partial 16S ribosomal RNA
Rfam family: Bacterial small subunit ribosomal RNA
Source: RNAcentral
UAGGGAAUCUUCCGCAAUGGGCGAAAGCCUGACGGAGCAACGCCGCGUGAGUGAUGAAGGUCUUCGGAUCGUAAAACUCUGUUAUUAGGGAAGAACAAAUGUGUAAGUAACUAUGCACGUCUUGACGGUACCUAAUCAGAAAGCCACGGCUAACUACGUGCCAGCAGCCGCGGUAAUACGUAGGUGGCAAGCGUUAUCCGGAAUUAUUGGGCGUAAAGCGCGCGUAGGCGGUUUUUUAAGUCUGAUGUGAAAGCCCACGGCUCAACCGUGGAGGGUCAUUGGAAGCUGGAAAACUUGAGUGCAGAAGAGGAAAGUGGAAUUCCAUGUGUAGCGGUGAAAUGCGCAGGGAUAUGGAGGAACACCAGUGGCGAAGGCGACUUUCUGGUCUGUAACUGACGCUGAUGUGCGAAAGCGUGGGGAUCAAACAGG